Molecule: ribosomal RNA, 256 nt
Filed under: uncultured bacterium
Lineage: Bacteria
Description: partial 16S ribosomal RNA
Rfam family: Bacterial small subunit ribosomal RNA
Source: RNAcentral
AACGAACGCUGGCGGCGUGGAUAAGACAUGCAAGUCGAACGCUUGUUUCACUGUAGCAAUACAGUGAGGCAGGAGUGGCGCAAGGGUGCGUAACACGUGGGUAAUUUACCAUGAAGUUGGGGAUAAUUCCGCGAAAGCGGGACUAAUACCGAAUGUGGAUAUUGAAAGGCAUCUUUUGUAUAUCUGAAGCUGGGGACCGGCAAGGCCUGGCGCCUCAUGAUAAGCCCGCGGCCUAUCAGCUAGUUGGCGGGGUAAC